Marmota monax (woodchuck) is the source of this 3874-nucleotide long non-coding RNA. RefSeq lists it as uncharacterized. The record is from RefSeq and is a predicted model, not a curated record. NCBI's taxonomy places the organism in Eukaryota, Metazoa, Chordata, Mammalia, Rodentia, Sciuridae. The transcript has 2 exons.
GGAGCCAGGAAGGGGAAGUCAUCUGGCUGGGCACAGAGGCAAGGCACUGACCCCAACAAACUCCUGUUCACACCUCAGCGGCUGAGAAGCCAGAGGGCUCGGGACUCCAGGUGGGCUCAGAGGCCUCCUCCCUGGCCUGGAACCCAGGGAGCCCCAGCCCCUCAGCUUCCUGCCCGGUGCAUCAUCAGGGUGAGACCCCAAGGGGAGAGGUGGGGCUCGGUGGACUGACUGCAGCGAGGUCAUGAGACGGGGUGGACCACCGGAAACUACUCCCCAACCAGGCCCCAGCCCUCACUUGGACUCAGGGUCAUGAGGCUGGUCACCUGCCUGCCCCAUUCCAGGACUGACCAUGGCCAGAAAACUGGGCUUCUGGGGACCCUCCCCAUAGACGUCCACUGCCAAGCCUUUCGCUGCCUGGGGCCUUGGGAGAUCCCAGGCCUCAGGACACACAGGUAGGGGAGGGCAUCAGAGCCUACCAGGCCUGGCCUGUGCUUCCUCUCCCCGUGGCCACCCACUUCUAUAUCCUGACCAUCUCUGUCCUUCCAACUGCCUCUGGGCAUCCCCCCAACAUUCCGCAGAGCCCUCAAACCCAAUGCAUCAGGCGGGGUCCCCCGGCCCAGCCAUCCUGGCCACCCUCUGGGUAGCAGAGUGUCAGGAAGGCACUCCUGCCGAGGUUGAAACCACAGUGUCCUGCUGUGGCCUUCACUCUCCUCCUGCUCACUACUGCCCCAUCCUUCCUCCAUGACAGGGGCCUUUCUCAGAAGCCCUGGGGCUGCUCAGACCACAGCAGGAGCCAGGUGGGGGCAGGGGGAGGCGCCAUCGGCCUCAGCAGUUCCUCUGCUGGUGUCUGAGUGGGCGGUGGGCGCUAACCCACCAGCGGCCACUGCUUCCCCUCACAAACGCUGUGGGGCCGAGAAACUGGAAAUAAAAGCAGUUCGCAGCUCACAGCUGCAGUGUCACAGGCGUCCCCUCCUCUGCCCACUUUGGGCAGGAGUCUUGCCCAGCACUGAGCGGCACCCAGGGCCAACAGCGUAGGUGGAUGUUAAGGGAGGCCUGGCCUUUUUUGGAGGAGAUUCAGCCCGCCUGGCUACUCCCAUAGGAAAGGGGGCAGGUGUGUGGACAGAGCCGGCCCAUUGUCAUCAAUGCCAUUAUUAUUAUCUAACGCACUAUCAUCUAAUCAUAAUCCUUACCGGUGUUGUCCAAUUUAGAUAUAUCAACCCCAUGAGAUCAGUAGUAGGCUCCCAUUUCACAGGGGAGAAGGUGGAGGCAGGGAGGGAGGCCUGUUUACACAGCAUGACUUGGCUGGACAGGGUUUGGAGGCUCAGGCUGCAGGAAGCUCGUGCCUUCAGCUACGAGGCAUGAAGAUUUGUCUUCCUCUGGGUUGGGGGCCACAAACUGCAGCCCCAGCACAUGCACAACUGUGCAGUCCCACCCCCGCAGGAGGGCUGGAUGUAGAGGGGGAGGAUGCCCCUGGGGCAGAGAGGCUGAGUUGGAGUCCCUACCUUCAGGGGACACUUGCCCCUCCUCUCCCCAGGCCCUCUGUGGCCAUCUGCCUGCCUUGACCUCUGGGCCUCCUGUCUGGUCUCCAGGGAGCACAAGGUGCCACCUGGUGGCGAUUUGGGGGCAUUGCAGUCGCUGUCCACAGAUGCUCAGUGCCCCUUGCUGCCCUCCUGGCUGAGGUGUGUGAUUUCCGCCACAUGGAGACCUACAGAACAGGGGACUUCUCUUCUUCCUGCCAGAUUCCAACAGGGUGGGGCCCGGCGUAAACCCUUGUGCUGUGGGGCCUGGGCUGCAGGUGGCCGUGGCAGGUGCUGGACAGCCAGGCCUCCUGCAGACCCCGCCCCCUUCUCCCCCACUCCUGCCAUGGCUAGGCCCACUCCUGCUCUCCCUGUCAGGCUCCACUGGCCUCGGGACAUCCCCUCUGGGCCAGGAGUCCUCCCUGACCCAGCUCCCUCCCCUCCUGACCUGCCCCCGCCUGCGCUUCCUUCUUGCCGAGGUUUCUCUUCCCCUGGUGGCUGGUGGCUGGUGGUUGGUGGCUCGCCCGGGGCAGAUGUCCUGAAGUCACUGUCCGUGAGACCCUCAAGGACAGGGUGAGCGGUUCACUUGUUCCUUCAACAUGUGGUCAACCAGGUGCGGUGGCCCUGCCUACAAUCCCAGCUCCUCAGGAGGCCGAGGCAGGAAGAUCACAAGGGUCCAGCCUGGACAGCUCAGCGAGACCCGCCUUGGCAUAGAAGUAGAAAGGGCUGGGAUCCAGCUGAGAGGAAGCGCCCUUGGUUCACUCCCUAGUAACAAACAGAACCCAUGUUGUCAAAGGCCACCAGACAUGGUCACACUUGAUAUUCGGUGGCAUUUCAUACGAAGGCUGCAUCCAGUCUCCUGAGGAUACAGCAGUGGCCAGCAUCCCUGCCCUGGAGGGUGUUCCGGUGGGGUCGGGAGCAGAGGAUACGAAGGCACCUCUACUGUCUGUCCUCGACACCUGCCCAAGCCUGGCUGUCACCACCUCCGGCCGUGGCUCGGGUACCUCCCAGGAUCUUGGUGCAGGGAAAUGAACCCCACCCCAAGAUGUGGGGUCGAAGACUUAAAAUGUGCACUGGAUGUGCUCCGGGCUUGCAGCCACGACCAUGGCUCCCCACAGCACAUCCCCCUUCCAGCUGAGCCCAAAGCCGAGGACGCCUUGCCCACUUGGAUUAUCCAACAGCAGGUGGUGGCCUAAAAAACUAUGGUACUGCGACAAAAAAGUGUGCCAUCAUCGGAAAUCAUGGAGAGCAUUUAAUGAUGGGGGGAAACGCACAGGAUGUGAGACAUUAAAAAACAACAACAACAAAAAACCUGUCUUGAAAAAACAACCAGCCGCCCAACAGGGUCCCAAUUUUAUUAAACAAAUACAGGUGUCUUCAUUGACUCCCUCACAACCGCCUCCCAAGCACACGCAGCUCCUGCGGCGGAGCCUGAGGGGCGGGGCCAGGCUUCGGGUCAGGAAGCCUGGCCCCGACGUUGAGAUACCCGAGCUGAAGAGGAAAGAGGGACGCCCUGGAGGGACCCCCGCUGCCGGAGGAGGUGGUACCUGAGCCAACACUGAAGGACACUCAGCUGGAUGGGGGCGGGGACCUGGAGGCUGCAGAAAGCUCAGCCAGUUUGGGGACAGCAAGUGCCCAGGCAGUGGUCAGGGCUAAACUGGGGACCCGACUGUGACAGAUGGGCUAGAGCGGGACCCAUCCCCUGUCCCUCUCUCAUGACCUGUCAGUUCUGCAAAGGAAGGAAAUGAGGGCAAGAAGAACAGGGGUGGUCAGAAAACCCUUCUGUGGAGGGGAGGGCAGGGCUGAGACCUGCAGGGAGAGCGUGGGGAGGGGGCCUGGGUGGGAGAGUGGACUGCAGCGAGCCACUGUCCUGGACGGGGUUGUCCUUGGGCAGGGUGUUCUGGAAUUUUUAUUUUUGUUUUUUGGUGGUGUUGGGGAUUGAACACAGGGCUUUGUGCAUGCAAGGCAAGCACUCCACCCACUGAGUGAUCACCAGGCAACCACCAGCCACUUUCAGGAUUCUUUAUAGGGCCCCUGUUUGCCUAUGGGACUCUGAGGCAUCCAGAAUCAGCCUGGUCAGCAGUUCUUACAGCCCAAUCUUCCCACAGGUGCCAGCGGGAGCCGCCCAAGCACCAGGUUCCAUCCUGAGGACACGGUCUGGUCGACCAGAUGCUCUGGGCAGGUCAGAGCCAGCUCUGCAAGGCAAAAUCAAGAACCCAGGACAGGGCUGCCGUCCAGCUCAGUGUCCCCCACCUACAUGGCACACGUGGCCUCUGCUGGUCCCAGGCACUGAGGAAGAUGCCCUUUUGAAGAACCCCUGAGAUUGUUACUGAGGGAAAAUAAACCCUUUUGCUUCA